UUAAAUGUAUAUUAUGAUUGAUUCAAAAGGGAAAAGGUAGGCAUGUGAUAAUUGGAAUACAUAUAUAUAGAUGAUUACUUGAGGAGAAAUUAUUAAGGUAAUAUAAAUAUUGUACCUGGUAUGGUUUAACUCAUUAGUUAAGAAUGAAAUUGUUUUUAUGAGUCCAGAAAAUUAUACUUGGAUUAAUUUAUUUCCUUAAACUUUUAAAUUUUAAAAUAUUAUAUUUGACAGAAAUUUAUUUCAAUAUACUAUUUUUAUAAGAAGAUAAAAUAAAGUCAUGGAAUUAAGCUUGAUAAUUGGUACCAUCGUAUGUAUACUUAUUACUUUAUAUAUGUGUAUAUAUUUCGAAAGUUUAAAUAUUAAACUGGAGAUUUGAAAAUUUCGUUUGUUUCUAAAUAAUAAAUAUACACAUGUAUAUACAAUCUGCUGAUGGUAUACACAAUAUAAUAAUCAAAUAUCUUCUGAAGAUAAACAUAAGAGAAAAUAGCACUGGUAAUUCUUAUAAAGACAUGAAGCCAUUAUAAGAAUAAAUCAUGAAACUUAUUAUGUUUUAAAAUACCAUCUGUUUCAAUAAAAUAUACCGUGCAUCGGAAUCUCAUAAUAUAUAAGCAUGAAUAGAGUUAGCUGUAAGCAUAUUUAUUACAUUGAACCUACUUAUAGUAUCAAUGGAGACAAUGAUAUAUUUGAAACUCCAUUCUCCAACCAAAAGAAAACCACAACCAUAAUAAUAUCUAUGCUUAAAUGAAAAAGUUAGGAUAUUGAUAUUCACUGGUAACAACCAGGAUAGUAUUUAGACUUGAAUCUAAGAAACAUGCCUUAGUAUAAAGCUUUGAGAUAAGCCAAUUACUUGCGUAGAUAAAGUGUGAUGGUUAUCGGUAUCCCGUGAGGAUGAUAACUAGAACAGUGUCUGUAUGAUAAAUAAGCAAUAACACUUGGCCACUGUUAUUUCUUGUUUAUUGGUACUACUCGGUUCUAGAAUAUGAUCCAUCAUGAGAAUACUAAUUUCCUUGUUCCUUAAUACAAGCCAUAAUAAAUGAUGUACUUCUGAAAUCAUUAUUUGAGAAAAUUCUAUUUACGGGAAAUACAAUGAAAACUACCUCUCCGGCAAGUCUGGGUAUGAUGUGGUAUACACUCCAGCUUGUCCGGGUGAGAUGGGGGUACCUCUCCUGCGAGACCGGGUGAGAUGGGGUAUAUGUUAUAUUAAUGGAAUUCCCUAAAUAGUACCAUGACUUGAUGUCUGACCUGUUUUUGGAAAUAUGAAUCUGUUAAAUACACUGACCUGAUGAAUGGUGUGUAUAUUACAGAAAUCCAAAGACCAUAUUGAUUGACAAUUAGGGAUAAAUCACGAACAGGUGUGUCAAUGAUAAUUCUAGACUUAAUUAUCAGGAAUCUCUCUCUCGUAUACGUCUAUAAUUCCAAUGUCAAACAUUAUUUCGUUUGAUCAUCAGUCUCGAAACUCGUGCGACAAGAUGAACGAAGGGAACCCUAUAAAUUGGGACUCCAUAAGAUUUCUCUUUGCGAUUAUUAAUGCAUUAGGAAGCCUGUAGCUAAAAGUUGUGCUUAGACACAAAACAUCUAAAAACUUAUGAAGAGUCGUUUCACCUCUUGAAAAGAUAAGAGCAACCACGACUAGAUAUAUUUACAAGAACUCUUUUUCCUACAAUUCUACUAAGAUUUACCAUUCGAAACCCUUAAAUUUAUUUGGAAUGACAGGAAUACAUACCUAACUGAUAAAUCUUUAGUUGUACCUCUUCAAAGUUAUAAAGGUAAAUGAAGAAUUUA
This 1782-nucleotide long non-coding RNA is filed under the name Helianthus annuus (common sunflower). RNAcentral's name for it is "hypothetical non coding rna". The record is from RNAcentral. Lineage: Eukaryota; Viridiplantae; Streptophyta; Magnoliopsida; Asterales; Asteraceae.